This is a long non-coding RNA of Passer montanus (Eurasian tree sparrow), 631 nucleotides long. RefSeq lists it as uncharacterized. The record is from RefSeq and is a predicted model, not a curated record. The transcript is spliced from 3 exons. Lineage: Eukaryota; Metazoa; Chordata; Aves; Passeriformes; Passeridae.
UUAAGUGCAAUUAGAACAUGUGUCCUUAAUUUUGUACUCUGAUAAAAAACCUAGAUAUGCAUUGCUUUGCUUGCUAUGCAGUAGACAGAGUAAUUUUAUGACUUUGGGAACUGAAGUCCUUGUGCUGUCAUUCACUAAGAAUUAAUUUGCCAAAAAAUUUUGUUUGUUCUUGUAGCAAACAAAAAGAUAUGUCUGAGCUAAGUUGCCCCAGCUGAAUCAUAAACUAUAACUUAACAGGCACAUGCAUCUGUUUCAUGGAAACUUCAGGGGAGAGGAAAAUUAUACCUGACCUGUUCCAGGAUAACAAAAGCUGAUGGUCCUCUUACAUGGCAGAGGUCAGAAUUUACCAAGAUGAGCAUUAACUGCUAUAGAGAACAAAGCACUAAGCUUGUCUUCACAGACUCCAGAAGCUCAUCUGCAGUUUGACUGGGCUGAAUGGAUUAUUCAAAGCAGACAUGUUUGCCACUUGGAAGGGGAUUGUUUUGGUUCUAUUCAUCAGAACAGUACUGAGAUGAGAAUCCCAAUGUGCUCACUGUGGGUGCCUGUAAUGCCUCUAUCCAUAUGCAUUGCUAUUGUCACAUUUUGUCACACAGACCCUUCAUGUCAAGCGUGAAUCAUCUUGCACCCACUA